Molecule: ribosomal RNA, 779 nt
Filed under: uncultured Chloroflexota bacterium
Lineage: Bacteria; Bacillati; Chloroflexota
Description: bacterial SSU rRNA
Rfam family: Bacterial small subunit ribosomal RNA
Source: RNAcentral
AGGGUUUGAUCCUGGCUCAGGAUGAACGUUGGCGGCGUGCCUAACACAUGCAAGUCGAACGGGAAGCCGAUUUCGGUCGGCAGAGAGUGGCGCACGGGUGCGUAACACGUAGCUCACCUGGCCCGAAGCGCGGGAUAACGCACCGAAAGGUGUGCUAAAACCGCAUAAGCUCACGGUUUGUAGAGGACAGUGAGAAAAACCCUGGUGCUUCGGGAUGGGGCUGCGGCCCAUCAGCUAGUUGGUGAGGUAAAGGCUUACCAAGGCGACGACGGGUAGGGGGCCUGAGAGGGUGGCCCCCCACACUGGGACUGAGACACGGCCCAGACUCCUACGGGAGGCAGCAGUGAGGGAUAUUGCACAAUGGGCGCAAGCCUGAUGCAGCGACGCCGCGUGGGUGAUGAAGGUCUUCGGAUCGUAAAACCCUUUUCUGCGUGACGAUGAUGACGGUAGCGCAGGAAUAAGUGUCGGCUAACUACGUGCCAGCAGCCGCGGUAAAACGUAGGACGCAAACGUUAUCCGGAGUUACUGGGCGUAAAGGGCGCGCAGGCGGUUGGGUAAGUGAGGCAUGAAAGCCCCAUGGCUAAACCUGGGGAGGUUGUCUGAUACUGCCCGACUAGAGUACGAUAGAGGGGUGUAGAAUUCCGCGUGUAGUGGUGAAAUGCGUAGAGAUGCGGAGGAAUACCAGAGGCGAAGGCGGCACCCUGGAUCGUAACUGACGCUGAGCGCGAAAGCAUGGGUAGCGAACGGGAUUAGAAACCCCGGUAGUCCAUGCCGUAAAC